AAAUUGAAGAGUUUGAUCAUGGCUCAGAUUGAACGCUGGCGGCAGGCCUAACACAUGCAAGUCGAACGGUAACAGGAAGCAGCUUGCUGCUUCGCUGACGAGUGGCGGACGGGUGAGUAAUGUCUGGGAAACUGCCUGAUGGAGGGGGAUAACUACUGGAAACGGUGGCUAAUACCGCAUAACGUCGCAAGACCAAAGAGGGGGACCUUCGGGCCUCUUGCCAUCAGAUGUGCCCAGAUGGGAUUAGCUUGUUGGUGAGGUAACGGCUCACCAAGGCGACGAUCCCUAGCUGGUCUGAGAGGAUGACCAGCCACACUGGAACUGAGACACGGUCCAGACUCCUACGGGAGGCAGCAGUGGGGAAUAUUGCACAAUGGGCGCAAGCCUGAUGCAGCCAUGCCGCGUGUAUGAAGAAGGCCUUCGGGUUGUAAAGUACUUUCAGCGGGGAGGAAGGUGUUGCGGUUAAUAACCGCAGCAAUU
RNAcentral lists this ribosomal RNA (480 nucleotides) under Salmonella enterica. RNAcentral describes it as "bacterial SSU rRNA". It matches the Rfam family "Bacterial small subunit ribosomal RNA", at positions 1 to 477 of the family's 1533-position model. The record is from RNAcentral. Lineage: Bacteria; Pseudomonadati; Pseudomonadota; Gammaproteobacteria; Enterobacterales; Enterobacteriaceae.